GACGAACGCUGGCGGCGUGCCUAAUACAUGCAAGUAGAACGCUGAAGAGAGGAGCUUGCUCUUCUUGGAUGAGUUGCGAACGGGUGAGUAACGCGUAGGUAACCUGCCUUGUAGCGGGGGAUAACUAUUGGAAACGAUAGCUAAUACCGCAUAACAAUGGAUGACCCAUGUCAUUUAUUUGAAAGGGGCAAAUGCUCCACUACAAGAUGGACCUGCGUUGUAUUAGCUAGUAGGUGAGGUAACGGCUCACCUAGGCGACGAUACAUGGCCGACCUGAGAGGGUGAUCGGCCACACUGGGACUGAGACACGGCCCAGACUCCUACGGGAGGCAGCAGUAGGGAAUCUUCGGCAAUGGGGGCAACCCUGACCGAGCAACGCCGCGUGAGUGAAGAAGGUUUUCGGAUCGUAAAGCUCUGUUGUAAGUCAAGAACGAGGGUGAGAGUGGAAAGUUCACACUGUGACGGUAGCUUACCAGAAAGGGACGGCUAACUACGUG
This 497-nucleotide ribosomal RNA is filed under the name uncultured bacterium. RNAcentral's name for it is "partial 16S ribosomal RNA". It matches the Rfam family "Bacterial small subunit ribosomal RNA", at positions 28 to 507 of the family's 1533-position model. The record is from RNAcentral.